AACGCGAAGAACCUUACCUACUCUUGACAUCCAGAGAACUUUCCAGAGAUGGAUUGGUGCCUUCGGGAACUCUGAGACAGGUGCUGCAUGGCUGUCGUCAGCUCGUGUUGUGAAAUGUUGGGUUAAGUCCCGCAACGAGCGCAACCCUUAUCCUUUGUUGCCAGCGGUCCGGCCGGGAACUCAAAGGAGACUGCCAGUGAUAAACUGGAGGAAGGUGGGGAUGACGUCAAGUCAUCAUGGCCCUUACGACCAGGGCUACACACGUGCUACAAUGGCAUAUACAAAGAGAAGCGACCUCGCGAGAGCAAGCGGACCUCAUAAAGUGCGUUGUAGUCCGGAUUGGAGUCUGCAACUCGACUCCAUGAAGUCGGAAUCGCUAGUAAUCGUGGAUCAGAAUGCCACGGUGAAUACGUUCCCGGGUCUUGUACACACCG
This 434-nucleotide ribosomal RNA is filed under the name bacterium 236. RNAcentral describes it as "bacterial SSU rRNA". It matches the Rfam family "Bacterial small subunit ribosomal RNA", at positions 958 to 1392 of the family's 1533-position model. The record is from RNAcentral.